Molecule: ribosomal RNA, 253 nt
Filed under: uncultured bacterium
Lineage: Bacteria
Description: partial 16S ribosomal RNA
Rfam family: Bacterial small subunit ribosomal RNA
Source: RNAcentral
UACAGAGGUCUCAAGCGUUGUUCGGAUUCAUUGGGCGUAAAGGGUGCGUAGGUGGCAUGGUAAGUCGGAUGUGAAAUCCCGGGGCUCAACCCCGGAACUGCCUUCGAUACUGGGUAUCUUGAGUUCGGAAGAGGUGAGUGGAAUUGCGAGUGUAGAGGUGAAAUUCGUAGAUAUUCGCAGGAACACCAGUGGCGAAGGCGGCUCACUGGUCCGAUACUGACGCUGAGGUGCGAAAGCGUGGGGAGCAAACAGG